Molecule: ribosomal RNA, 4627 nt
Filed under: Globorotalia inflata
Lineage: Eukaryota; Foraminifera; Rotaliida; Globorotaliidae
Description: partial 28S rRNA
Rfam family: Eukaryotic large subunit ribosomal RNA
Source: RNAcentral
ACAGGGAUGCAAUGAAUUGCAUGCGACGUUCUUUUUAAGAGCGCUCGCUUUUACAAGUGCAAUCUUAGCCCGUCGAUCUAAUCUAACCCAUUGUCUGAACAUACUUCGGUAUCUCAACUGGGUGGAAGUGUAGAAUCGAAAGCAAUCUUAUGUUGGUCUCUUUAUAAAGAGCAGUGUAUUAUUAACAUACACACACACAGAAGAUUAAGCCGAGUUGUGUUAAGAGCAAUACAUUUACAAUACACAGCGCUUUAGCGUUGGAAAGCAAAUGUUUGUAGUUUCACUACUGCCUUAGAGUGUGACAGCCACGUUCUAAUCCUUAUUGCUUCUUAUUUAAUACACACUACGCUUUAUCUUUUAAACAAUACACUACGCUCUGUUUAGACCGUAAUUCGUGAUUGUUGAUACCAGAGUCGAGUUGUUUGGGACUACAGCUCAAAUAGUUGGAGGUGGUAAUGACACAUCUAAGGCUAAAUAUUGGUGUUUAUUCUAACAUGCAACGGAAACCGAUAGCAAACAAGUACCGUAAGGGAACGAUGAAAAGCACCCUUCAUAGCGCACUAUGUCUGUCGUCUAAAUUCAUUUAGUCAACAGCAUACUAAGCUCCAAAGGGAGUGAAAGAGAGAGUGAAAUCGCCUCACAUCCUUUAAUACUUUAACUGCCACACUAUACAAUACCCCACAUUCUAUUCAGCGAAGUACAAUCGGACAGAGUGUCUUUGAACUAUUUCUAAUAGUUACAAGCGGGCUAUUACGUUUUGUUUAAAAAUGUUAUAUGCUUUGCUCCCUAAGGCUUGAAUCUUAUUUUUAAUAAGAUCCCAAGUCAUUAACAGGACACAACUAUCUGACCCGUCUUGAAACACGGACCAAGGAGUUCAACUGGACUGCAAGUCAUAGAGUUUCUCACAAAGCUCUGUAAUAUAUUAUAUGGCAAAGCGAAAGCAAUGUUCUUUCCAAGUGCAAAGUGUUAUUCUCUUUAGAAUAACACUGCCACACAAGCUGUUUACGGUCAUAUUGUUAGAGCCUUUGUGCUGUGCAUAUGUGAAUCCCUUUAAAUUUUAUUUAUCGGAAUUCUGUUAAACAAGCUUAAUGAGCACUUUAGUUGAGACCCGAAAGAUGGUGAACUAUGCUCGGACAUGGUGAAGCCAGGUGAAAACUUGGUGGAAGCUUGCGUUGUGCGGAACUGACGUGCAAAUCGUUGCCGCCUGAUCUGAGUAUAGGGGCGAAAGACUCAUCGAACCAUCUAGUAGCUGGUUCCCUCCGAAGUUUCCCUUAGGAUAGCUCGAUAUUAUCACUUAAACAAUUUGUGUAACACAAGGGUAAAGCAAUGAGACGCGGUAUCUGUGGGUCUUAUCUUUAACGACCUCGGCCUUCUCUCAAACUUUAAAUCUGUGCGAAUACAUAUGAUUUCUUAAACAGCUCGUCCCUUAAAAGAUAAGCUGCGAAUCUAUGUUCUUCUCUAUUGUAACUAAAUAUCGUAGUGGGCCAUUCCUGGUAAGCAGGACUGGCGAUGAGGGAUUCAACCUGACGUUUUCAAGAUAAGCCGGGCUUAAUCAUAUCUGCUCCAACCUUCCGAUAAACGCGAAAGGGUGUUCCGUGUGGUGCAGACAGCAGGACGGUGGCCAUGGAAGUUGGAAUCCGCGUAAGGAGUGUGUAACAACUCACCUGCAGAAUCACACCGCCCCGAAAACGGAUGGCGCUCAAGCAGUUAUUUUAAUACAUCUAAUGUAUUUACCCGACACUUGACCAUUAGCGUUAUAACAAUUCUUUUGUUUUAUACCUAAUGAGUAGGAGGUUAUCAAACGCGUGAAGAUAUACUGACGCGUGUCAAAUCAUUGACACCGCGUUUUGUUUAUGCUUAGAAGUGCUUACUCGUAAGAGAGCAUUGAGCUAUCUUUAGUGCAGAUCUUGGUACUAGUAGCAAGGAGUCUUACUGAGAAUUCUAAUGGAGAUCAUACAUGUUUCUUAACUCGUUAAGCGACACUGUAUAGUUCUUCUUUUUAAACCGAGGAUGACCGAAGCGGAGAAAGGUUCCAUGUUGCAGCUUAGUGCGACGUGGGUGAGUCAGUCCUAAGGCUAAUGCCUGACACAGGCUUUUAAUUCUCGUUACAUCUUAUGUGUUUAAACAUCUCUUUUGGUGUUCUUUACACUUAAAUCGUAACGGUUGGCUAAACGGGAAUCUGGUUAAUACUCUAGAACCACUGUAUGACAGUCAACAAUACAAUCUAUUAACAAACCGCGGCAACGCAACAGUUGGGUUGUUCUUUAUAACGACCCCAACCACAAGGCAGAUUACUUGAGGCGUAAGUCCUGACAGGGUUAUCUAGCCUGUUUAACCUUACUAAUAUACAAUACGCAUUGCGUUAUUAACCAUAACACGCUAUUAACAAUAUACGUUACGUAUUUGACAAUCAAGUGUUGAGCGGCAUUUAGUGAACGAUGCACUUGAUUAUUCGCCCACUAAUAAUGGGAAGAGCACUGGUGUUUGUAGAUUGCCUUUAGCACUCACUCUCUUUAUAGAGAACGUCUUUAGCGCAAUCUCAAGCAAUUUACCUGGUGUCUAUGGACCUUAUGUUCUCAGGCGUGAAAAGUCUGUCUCGUAUUCUCUUGUUUAUUGCUAAUAAUAUAUUAGCAAUAUAACAUUUUAAAACAAUAAUAUACACUGGUACAGUGUCUGUACUCAUAACCGCAUCAGGUCUCCAAGGUUUGCAGCCUUUGGUCGUAUAGAAAUACGGUGGGUAAGGGAAGUCGGCAAAUUCGGUCCGUACUUACGAUACAAGGACUGGCUCCGAAGGUGAAUGAAUACGCUAAUACAGAUUUAGCAUCUUAACAGAUUUUAACAUUAAAAGCUUAACCUGUUAACAAGAUAAGGAUAUUCUUUCUUUACGAUUGAAUCCCUCCUAUAAUCUCGUCUUAACUUGUGACGCUUGUUUCAAUCUAGCUAAUGUAUGUGUAUAACACAACCUUUGAGAACUGGCACGGACUCGGGGAAUCCGACUGUUUAAUUAAAACAUAGCAAAGUGCAAUGUUUCUUUACGUAGAUUGAUUUGCCUGUGUGUCAUUCUUCGGAAUGGCAUUACUAACUAUCUCAGUCGCGUUAACUUUUUUAUUUAGUCCGAAAUGGAUUUGAACACUUUGUGUAUUCUGCCCAGUGCUCUGCAAGUUAUUCUGUGUGGAUACAGCAUCUUAAGCGCGGGUCAACGGCGGGAGUAACUAUGACUCUCUUAAGGUAGCCAAAUGCCUCGUCAUUUAAUUGGUGACGCGCAUGAAUGGAUCAACGAGAUUCCCACUGUCCCUACUCACUCUCUAGCGAAAUUACAGCCAAGCCAACGGUCUUGGGAUAGUACUUGUGUGUCAUUUGUGUGUCACAUGAUUAUACUUAUUCUUAUAAAAAUGGAUUACAUAUCUAUUAACAAUACAGUGUCUUAUUCUUAUUAGAAUAACACGACUGUUAACAUUGUAAUUCCCUUUUUUUAAAGAGAAAUUACAAAACGUACAACAGCGGGGCAAGAAGACCCUUUUGAGCUUGACUCUAAUCUGUUAUUGUCAUCUGGUCGGCAUGGCGAAGAUAGUAAGAGGCAGUGCAUUCAUUUGUACGACCAUGAAACACCGCUACUUGACGAUUUGGCUGACUAACUGUAUAGGCAUUGCCUUUUUACAGCAUUAGCAACAACACACACUUUCGCUCUUUUAAACAGCUAUCCUUUAUAGGAUCUGCUGUAAAUGACGUUUGUGUGAGCAUUUGUUCACUCGCUAAUAUCUCUCACGAGGUUUGCGACCAUAGUUCUCUUGCCAUUCUUUAUAGAAUUGAAAAGGGACGGCUUAUCUUUUAUAUAAAAGUUAAGCCGUUAUAACCUGGCUUGUUGAAGUGACUUAUGCCAAUGAGCUACUACUUUAUACAUAGCAUUCCGAGCAUUGGACUAUGAGCUCUCUGUAUUAUUAAAGGCUUCGGUCUUUUUAAUACACUAACGACUCUUACCAUUAUAUAGCAAUUGUACAGGACAUUUGCAGAAUGGGAGUUUGGCUGGGGUGGCACAUCUGUUAGAAUGCAACACAGGUGUCCCAAGGGCAGCUCCGUGAGAACAGAAACCUCUCAUCGAGUAUAAGGGCAAAAGCUGUCUUAAUCUAAGUUCCUUCAGUAACGGAACACAAUGAAAUACAAUACUUGCCUGUUUAGUGUCUUGUUCUUGUAACAAGUAUGCUGUAUGGCUUGUUUAGUGUGAAAGCACGGCCUAGCGAUCCUUUAGUGAACGUAUGAAUUCUAUGGUAUCUUCUCUUUCACGAGAGAUGUGUGUGCUGUAUAUUAAACGUUAACCGCCUUUAUCUUUUAAAUUUGAGAGCUGGUUGAGAUUUGUGUACUGGACGGGUUAAACCGUGGUUGUGCCAAUCUUAAUAGCCUGAUCUUAUCUUUAUCUUAAAGGCAUCCUAAUGUUUAAAUAACAGCCACAUGACCUAUUACUUUUUGCGGCUAGAGGUGUCAGAAAAGUUACCACAGGGAUAACUGGCUUGUGGCCCCGGAGCGUUCAAAGCGAUGGGGCUUUUUGAUUCUUCGAUGUCGGCUCUUCCUAUCCUGCGGUUGCAUACGGCCGCAAGGGUAAGUUUGUUCACCUGCCAACAGGGAACGUGAG